GACUAAGCCAUGCGAGUCAAGGGGCUUGUACCCCUUCGGGGGUUCAAGCACCGGCGGACGGCUCAGUAACACGUGGACAACCUGCCCUCGGGUGGGGGAUAACCCCGGGAAACUGGGGCUAAUCCCCCAUAGGUGAUGGGUGCUGGAAUGCCCCAUCACCGAAAGCGCUCAGCGCCCGAGGAUGGGUCUGCGGCGGAUUAGGUAGUUGGCGGGGUAACGGCCCGCCAAGCCGAAGAUCCGUACGGGCCAUGAGAGUGGGAGCCCGGAGAUGGACCCUGAGACACGGGUCCAGGCCCUACGGGGCGCAGCAGGCGCGAAACCUCCGCAAUGCGGGAAACCGCGACGGGGCUAGCCGGAGUGCCGAUGCCUCGCAUCGGCUGUCGGGGAGCCUAAAAAGCUCCCCACAGCAAGGGCCGGGCAAGGCCGGUGGCAGCCGCCGCGGUAAUACCGGCGGCCCGAGUGGCGGCCACUAUUAUUGGGCCUAAAGCGUCCGUAGCCGGUCUGGCAAGUCCCCCGGGAAAUCUGGCGGCUUAACCGUCAGGCUGCCGGGGGAUACUGCCAGACUAGGGACCGGGAGAGGCCGGGGGUAUUCCCGGGGUAGGGGUGAAAUCCUGUAAUCCCGGGAGGACCACCUGUGGCGAAGGCGCCCGGCUGGAACGGGUCCGACGGUGAGGGACGAAGGCCUGGGGAGCGAACCGGAUUAGAUACCCGGGUAGUCCAGGCUGUAAACGAUGCGGGCUAGGUGUCGCGACAGCCACGAGCUGUCGCGGUGCCGGAGGGAAGCCGUUAAGCCCGCCGCCUGGGAAGUACGGCCGCAAGGCUGAAACUUAAAGGAAUUGGCGGG
Molecule: ribosomal RNA, 844 nt
Filed under: Archaeoglobus sp. Fe70_19
Lineage: Archaea; Methanobacteriati; Methanobacteriota; Archaeoglobi; Archaeoglobales; Archaeoglobaceae
Description: bacterial SSU rRNA
Rfam family: Archaeal small subunit ribosomal RNA
Source: RNAcentral